RNAcentral lists this small nucleolar RNA (137 nucleotides) under Cottoperca gobio. The record is from RNAcentral. Lineage: Eukaryota; Metazoa; Chordata; Actinopteri; Perciformes; Bovichtidae.
CCAGGCUCCUAUCGAAGCCGUUCAUGCUCUUCAGUAGCAGCGAAUGGUCAACAUGAAGCCGAGAAGAAGACUUUCACCGACGGUCGCUGGUCAGUUCGUAAAUAACUGGUCCAGCAACAUUAAGGGGAAGGACACUC